CCCGCUGAACUUAAGCAUAUUAAUAAGCGGAGGAAAAGAAACUAACAAGGAUUCCCCUAGUAACGGCGAGUGAAGCGGGAAGAGCUCAAGCUUAAAAUCUCCGUGCAAGUUUUGCGCGGCGAAUUGUAGUCUAUAGAGGCGUGAUCAGUGUGGGCGCUUGGGGCAAGUUCCUUGGAAGAGGACAGCAUGGAGGGUGAUACUCCCGUUCAUCCCUGAGUUGCUCGUGCGUACGAUCCGUUUUCUUUGAGUCGCGUUGUUUGGGAAUGCAGCGCAAAGUAGGUGGUAAAUUCCAUCUAAAGCUAAAUAUUGGUGCGAGACCGAUAGCGAACAAGUACCGUGAGGGAAAGAUGAAAAGAACUUUGAAAAGAGAGUUAAAGAGUACCUGAAACUGCUGAAAGGGAACCGAAUCGUUUCCAGUGUCUAUAAUCCGUGGUAUAUUUCAUUGGCGAGUGUGUGCGUGCGUGUGCUGUGGCAGCGGCUUUUUUGGCUGCGCUCGGCGUGUGUGCUGUGUGUGCUUGCUGGUGCCCUGUGCUGCGGUGGGACGUCAAGGUCAGUUCGUAUGCUGCGGGAAAUGGCCGCCGAGGAGGUAGGGCUUACGCUUGCGUUUGUCUGUUAUAUCUUGGUGGACGAGUAGUCGCGGUUGGGACUGAGGUGCCUACAACGUGUUUUUGAGUGGGCCUGUGUCUCUGUGUGCGCCGUGUGCGGAUAGCUUGCUAUGCGUGUGUGGUUGUGUGUGGAUUGAUGUGGGUUUUAACUUGUUGCCGUUCGGGACGUUGACGAAAUGGAGCGAUUUGACCCGUCUUGAAACACGGACCAAGGAGUCUAACAUGUGUGCAAGUGUUAGGGUGUGGAAACCCCAGCGCGAAAUGAAAGUGAAGGGCAGCGUAAGUUGUCUGAGGUAGGAAAUGCUGCGGGCUUCGGUCUGCGGUGUGGCACUAUCGACCGAUCAUGAACCUUCGUGGUGAAAGAUUUGAGUUUGAGCACAUAUGUUGGUACCCGAAAGAUGGUGAACUAUGCCUGAGUAGGGUGAAGCCAGGGGAAACUCUGGUGGAAGCUCGUAGCGAUUCUGACGUGCAAAUCGAUCGUCAAACUUGGGUAUAGGGGCGAAAGACUAAUCGAACCAUCUAGUAGCUGGUUCCCUCCGAAAUUUCCCUCAGGAUAGCAGCAACUUAUUUACGAUAGUUUUAUGAGGUAAAGCGAAUGAUUAGAGGAUUCGGGGAAGAAACUUCCUCGACCUAUUCUCAAACUUUAAAUCUGUAAGACCUGCAGGUUUCUUAAUUGAACUUGUGGAUGUGAAUAUCAAGUUGCUAGUGGGCCAUACGGGGUAAGCUCGUCUGGCG
RNAcentral lists this ribosomal RNA (1340 nucleotides) under Phytophthora infestans (potato late blight agent). Its description in RNAcentral is "eukaryotic LSU rRNA". It matches the Rfam family "Eukaryotic large subunit ribosomal RNA", at positions 24 to 1155 of the family's 3401-position model. RNAcentral also lists the same sequence under 2 other names. The record is from RNAcentral. Lineage: Eukaryota; Oomycota; Peronosporomycetes; Peronosporales; Peronosporaceae.